CCUUGGCAUAAACAAGAAUUCCAACAUUUAUACAAUAUUAAAAAAAAAACCCCUCAUUUCUUAAGGCACCUCACGACACAAGCACACUUUGGAGAUUUAAUUAAGGAAAAUGCAAUUCCAUAUUAAAAUAUUUAUACACUAACAAACAUACUGAAAAAGAUUUUAAAACAGCAAAACAGAGCGGCUGGGUAUUUUUAAAACAUGUAUGCCAGGACACUUAAAUAUUGAUACGAGUGGGUAACAGAUUUGUUCCAGGUCAUGUUGUUUUGGAAUUCUCUAAGAAUUGGUGCCUCUUUCUGUUUCAAUGUGAAAUAAACCCUGCAGACACACUGCCCACACUUAUCAAAGCUUAUCUAUCUCCUUACGGUGAAUUUUGCUGGAAAAAAAAAAAAAAAGAUUCCCACAUCUGAUGAAAACUCACAGGCCAGCAAUUCACAGUCCCUGGCAACGUUUACUAUGGACUUGAACUCAGUUUCAUGGUAAGUUUUCAGCAUUUGCGUCUGAGUGGCCAUACAAAGCUUCAAUUCGAUAGAGCUCUUAGAGCAUGCCAUCAAAGAAGUAACAUGCCACGAGUCUCCUCAGGUCAGCUGAAGAUAGAUAGGUCUGUUCUCUUGCUGCCCUGUGCAGGCUGAACUUUCAAGGCAAACAAACUGAUCAGCGGAGAGAUGAAAGGAUAAGAUGCCUGAGGACAUUUAAUCACUUAACAUGAUGAAGACCUGAUUCCAUCCCCCACUCACUUUCUAAAGGUAAGGCUUUAUGAAGAGGCAAUAUUAUAGCUCCGUCAGGAUUAAGUCUAAGUCCUUGUCCUUGUAGCAGGACUAACGCGCUUUGAGUAUGUUGCUUAGUUUGGAACCUGAUUGUUCUUAAGACAUCCUGUUAUCCAGAAGCAGCUCAGGACAACCUGUUCAGGUUAAAUCACUUUCCAGAAAAGGAGUCUACGUUCAGUAAUUAUGAAGGAUUCCCAGAUAAAACAACGUGGAAAAAAACCUGGAAUUUGAGAUUGGGAGGUAUUGUCCUUUAAAUAUCUCAUCCUAGGGAAACUAGUCCUAAUAAUGUCACAGAGCUGAUUAUGGGCAGUGCCGGUUUCAUGGGAAAGCUGUCUUUCUUAGAAAACUUCCUGUGCUUCUAAGUCUCUUAAUUUCAUCAGAGGCCUGUAAUUUACAAAUAUGAAGGGAACAGUGGGUCUCCCUCUCAUUGUAUCAACUCAUUCUUGCACACAUACACAAUGCAAGGCUGAAGGAUAUUAUCAGGAUACCUCUGGGGCAUGGCAAGAAACAAAUAGUAGAUCAUCAGAAAUUAAAUGUGUUGGUAAGUUUACAGCAAAGUCUGAUUUAUUGCACAUGAUUUUUUGAAAGUUUUGAUGCAUGAAUGGCAUAUGGAGCAGUCCUAUUAACAGGAUCAUCUGAGUCAUCCCUGACUACCAGAUUAGAAGAUACCAGACUCAGUCGAACAGGACGACCUUUGGCAGGAACUGGGGCUUGGCCGUUAUCUCCCUCAACAGAAGUCAUAGUCUCCAGAAGAAAACCAAACGCCAAACCAACACAAACCAAGCAGCAGAGAGGUCCCCCAUGUCCCCUACUGUCCAGGGCUGGUUUGGGUUUGAAUGAGGCACUUGUAGAAGCCUGAGUCACUCAUCACUGUGGGGAGAAGAGGCCAGUAGCAUGCGGCAGCUGGACAGUCAACAGCAAGGCACCGCGAGGGCGGGGAUCACUUAAGCUGCCUUGCCAAACUCUGCCAACUUGGUUAGAGUCCUGGCUGGCAGCAGCUGUAUUUCAGGGCCGGGCCAAGACUGACGCUGAACACUGAACAUGCCACUCACACUAACAUCGUUCUCUGUUCUAGACACUGCAAAGUGAAUGUUAAUUCAUAUUUUUGGUAACACCUGCUACUUGUCCAAAUGGAUUAAUCUUAUUAUAGCACAAUUUUUUUUUUGAGAUGGAGUCUUGCUAUGUCGCCCAGGCUGGAAUGCACUGGUGCCAUCUCACCUCAAUGGAACCUCCACCUUCCCAGUACUUGGGAUUACAGGCACCCACCACCACACCCGGCUAAGUUUUAUAUUUUUAGUAGAGACAGGGUUUCACCAUGUUGGCCAGGCUGGUCUCGAACUCCUGACCUCAAGUGACCCACCCAUCUCAACCUCCCUAAACUGCUGGCAUUAGAGGAAUGAGCCACUGCGCCCAGCCCACGAUUCUUUUAUCACAUGCUAAUUCACAAGAAGCAAGAUGAAGAAUUUUGAUAAAUAGUAUUGCUAUUCAUUUCUAUUAAAUUCAUUUCUAUUCAUUUCUAUUAAACGUAUCCAACUGUUUUGGAUCUAAGAAACCUGUCCAGGGUGGCUGGUAUAUUAAAGUACUGAUUUUACAUAGAUAUUUAAACAUUUUUCUUAUGCAGGUGAAGAUCCAAAAUACCACUGAAAUAUAAGCCUGAUUUGUUUGUAGUUUUUCCAAGGACUGGGUGCUGUUUUACAUGUUCCUUGAAAAAGAAAACAUUCUAGGAGGCAGCAAUGAAUAAAUAUGGAACAAACUUGGAAAGAAAAUGUGAACUUUAUCUUUUGUAUAAUUUCUAAAUAUCUUUAGGAGCAGUUAACCCAACUCCACAGUUCUAAAAUGCAGGGCUCAAUUUCACACAUAUUACCCCAUUUGUAAGAUCCUCUUUCAUUCUGAAGGAAACAUACCAGUUUCUCCAUUUUCAUUAACUUGAUGUCCUGUUGAUGCAGUUUCUCAUUCUUGAUCUCUAACACAGCUUUCAGGCUUUCUAACUCCUGUUCUAGAUACAUGAUCUGAGGA
Molecule: long non-coding RNA, 2783 nt
Organism: Homo sapiens (human)
Lineage: Eukaryota; Metazoa; Chordata; Mammalia; Primates; Hominidae
Exons: 2
Source: RefSeq, a predicted model, not a curated record